RNAcentral lists this ribosomal RNA (540 nucleotides) under uncultured bacterium. RNAcentral's name for it is "bacterial SSU rRNA". It matches the Rfam family "Bacterial small subunit ribosomal RNA", at positions 777 to 1317 of the family's 1533-position model. The record is from RNAcentral.
AAUAGAUACCCUGGUAGUCCACGCCGUAAACGAUGUCGACUUGGAGGUUGUUCCCUUGAGGAGUGGCUUCCGGAGCUAACGCGUUAAGUCGACCGCCUGGGGAGUACGGCCGCAAGGUUAAAACUCAAAUGAAUUGACGGGGGCCCGCACAAGCGGUGGAGCAUGUGGUUUAAUUCGAUGCAACGCGAAGAACCUUACCUACUCUUGACAUCCACGGAACUUUUCAGAGAUGAAUUGGUGCCUUCGGGAACCGUGAGACAGGUGCUGCAUGGCUGUCGUCAGCUCGUGUUGUGAAAUGUUGGGUUAAGUCCCGCAACGAGCGCAACCCUUAUCCUUUGUUGCCAGCGGUUAGGCCGGGAACUCAAAGGAGACUGCCAGUGAUAAACUGGGGGAAGGUGGGGAUGACGUCAAGUCAUCAUGGCCCUUACGAGUAGGGCUACACACGUGCUACAAUGGCGCAUACAAAGAGAAGCGACCUCGCGAGAGCAAGCGGACCUCAUAAAGUGCGUCGUAGUCCGGAUUGGAGUCUGCAACUCGACU